UCCCUACGGGGGGCAGCAGUGGGGAAUAUUGCACAAUGGGGGGAACCCUGAUGGAGCAACGCCGCGUGAGUGAAGAAGGGUUUCGGCUCGUAAAGCUCUGUUGGUAGUGAAGAAAGAUAGAGGUAGUAACUGGCCUUUAUUUGACGGUAAUUACUUAGAAAGGCACGGCUAACUUCGUGCCAGCAGCCGCGGUAAUACGUAGGUGGCAAGCGUUUUCCGGAUUUAUUGGGCGUAAAGCGAGUGCAGGCGG
RNAcentral lists this ribosomal RNA (250 nucleotides) under uncultured bacterium. RNAcentral describes it as "partial 16S ribosomal RNA". It matches the Rfam family "Bacterial small subunit ribosomal RNA", at positions 335 to 578 of the family's 1533-position model. The record is from RNAcentral.